This 348-nucleotide unclassified non-coding RNA is filed under the name soil metagenome. RNAcentral's name for it is "partial contains 5.8S ribosomal RNA, internal transcribed spacer 2, and large subunit ribosomal RNA". The stretch from base 1 to 120 matches the Rfam family "5.8S ribosomal RNA", at positions 35 to 154 of the family's 154-position model. The record is from RNAcentral.
GAUGAAGAACGUAGCGAAAUGCGAUAAGUAAUGUGAAUUGCAGAAUUCAGUGAAUCAUCGAAUCUUUGAACGCACAUUGCGCCCGCCAGUAUUCUGGCGGGCAUGCCUGUCUGAGCGUCAUUUCAACCCUCAUGCCCCUAGGGCGUGGUGUUGGGGAUCGGCCAAAGCCCGCGAGGGACGGCCGGCCCCUAAAUCUAGUGGCGGACCCGUCGUGGCCUCCUCUGCGAAGUAGUGAUAUUCCGCAUCGGAGAGCGAUGAGCCCCUGCCGUUAAACCCCCAGCUUUCCAAGGUUGACCUCAGAUCAGGUAGGAAUACCCGCUGAACUUAAGCAUAUCAAUAAGCGGAGGA